Molecule: ribosomal RNA, 253 nt
Filed under: uncultured bacterium
Lineage: Bacteria
Description: partial 16S ribosomal RNA
Rfam family: Bacterial small subunit ribosomal RNA
Source: RNAcentral
UACGAAGGGGGCUAGCGUUGUUCGGAAUUACUGGGCGUAAAGCGCACGUAGGCGGAUAUUUAAGUCAGGGGUGAAAUCCCGGGGCUCAACCCCGGAACUGCCUUUGAUACUGGGUAUCUCGAGUCCGAGAGAGGUGAGUGGAAUUCCGAGUGUAGAGGUGAAAUUCGUAGAUAUUGGGAAGAACACCAGUGGCGAAGGCGGCUAACUGGUCCAGAUCUGACGCUGAGGUGCGAAAGCGUGGGGAGCAAACAGG